Molecule: ribosomal RNA, 499 nt
Filed under: uncultured bacterium
Lineage: Bacteria
Description: partial 16S ribosomal RNA
Rfam family: Bacterial small subunit ribosomal RNA
Source: RNAcentral
ACUCAAAGGAAUUGACGGGGGCCCGCACAAGCGGUGGAGCAUGUGGUUUAAUUCGACGCAACGCGAAGAACCUUACCUGGGCUCGAACGGCUUCCCAACGGAGGUGGAAACACCUCUAUCCCGCAAGGGAGUGGAGUCGAGGUGCUGCAUGGCUGUCGUCAGCUCGUGUCGUGAGAUGUUGGGUUAAGUCCCGCAACGAGCGCAACCCUUGUCCUGUGUUGCCAGCCCGCAAGGAGGCACUCUCAGGAGACCGCCAGCGAUAAGUUGGAGGAAGGUGGGGAUGACGUCAAGUCAUCAUGGCCUUUAUGUCCAGGGCUACACACGUGCUACAAUGGGCGGUACAAACCGGCGCCAACCCGCGAGGGGGAGCCAAUCGGAAAAAACCGCUCUCAGUUCGGAUUGCAGGCUGCAACUCGCCUGCAUGAAGCUGGAAUCGCUAGUAAUGGUAUAUCAGAAUGAUACCGUGAAUACGUUCCCGGGCCUUGUACACACCGCCCGU